Molecule: long non-coding RNA, 1211 nt
Filed under: Cyanistes caeruleus (blue tit)
Lineage: Eukaryota; Metazoa; Chordata; Aves; Passeriformes; Paridae
Description: lncRNA (ENSCCEG00000002227.1)
Source: RNAcentral
GGGUGUCCUGAGGGGCUGGGAGGUCUGGAGGGGGGUCCCGGAGAGAGAUGAGCGGUUUGGGAGAGUCCCUGAGGGAGAUCUGGGGGAAUCUGAGGAGGUUGUUGGGAUCGCGGGCGGGAUUAGAGGAUCCUGAAGGCUUCUGAGGGGACAAGGGUCGGUCUGAGGAGGAUUUGCGGGGUCUAAGCGGGUUCUGAAGGGAAUUAGGGGGGGUCAGGAGAGAGUUUGGGGGGGUCUCUGAGGGGUUUGGGGACUCGUGAGGGGUUUGAACGUGGCUCGGUGGGAAUGAGGGGGUCCGGAAGGGCCCAAAAGAACCGGGGUGUCCCUGAGGGUCGGGGGGUGCUGAGCUCAGGAGUUUGUGACCCCAAAUCCCCCCAUUCCCUCCCAGACCCCCAAAGUUCCGGAGGUUCGGGAUGUCACCCGCAUCGAGCGGAUCGGUGAGACGCGACCCCCUCGCUUUGGGGGGGUCUCCCCUUUUUGGGGAACCCCCCCACCCCAUUUUGGGGAUUCAGUCCCGCUUUUGGGGAGGUUUGGAUGCUCUCCAGUUUGUCUGGGGAUAUCCUACAAUUGGGAAAAUGGGGGUUAGAAGGAGUCAGAAAUUUGGGGGAUUACUCCUAACUUUUGGGGGGGAGUUGAGGGGGUCCCCAAAAUGUGGGGGACCCUUUGUAACCCCCCCAAAUUCCUUUUCCCAGGCGCCCACUCCCACAUCCGCGGGCUGGGCCUGGACGAUGCCCUGGAGCCGCGACAGGUGUCCCAGGGCAUGGUGGGGCAGUUGUCCGCCCGCCGCGCCGCCGGCGUCAUCCUGGAGAUGAUCAAGGAGGGGAAAAUCGCCGGACGCGCCGUCCUGAUCGCCGGGCAGCCCGGGACGGGGAAAACGGCCAUUGCUAUGGGUUUGUGACCCCCAAAAACCCCCAAAUCCCAUCCAAAAAUGUCCCCAAAUCCCUGUCCUGAUCCCCAGGCAUCCCAGACAGGGAAAACUGUCAUUGCCGUGAGUGGGUGACCCCAAAAUCCUGCCUGAUUUUUCCCCCUAUUCCCCCAAAUCUCUCUCAAGCUCACCCCUGACUCCUCCAAUCCACCCUAAAUCCCCCCAAAUUCCUCCUCAAACUCACCCCUGACUCCUCCAAUCCACCCUAAAUCCCCCAAACUCACCCUAAAUUCUCCCCAAACUCACCCCUGACUCCUCCAACCUAUCCCAAAUCCCCCAAACGCAACCU